RNAcentral lists this long non-coding RNA (296 nucleotides) under Drosophila guanche. The record is from RNAcentral. Lineage: Eukaryota; Metazoa; Arthropoda; Insecta; Diptera; Drosophilidae.
UAGGUUUUUAAAAAGAUAUUUUAUUUAACCCAACAUAUAUAUUAGAACAUAGAAUAUGAAUCUGAAUUCCCCAACUCAAUGUUAGAAAGUCUCAAACGGAACUGUCUUCUUGUGCUCGAGUUAUUGAUCUCGAGACCUCUGCUGCGAAGCUUAAAGCUUAUCUUCUUAAGCGUUCGGCUUUGGCUGAUAUUCGUCUUCGGAAUUGAGUGAUGAUGGCUUUGAUGAAACAGGCAGCCGCAGCUGGUGAUUGGUGUCAGCUUUCAUUUUGAGAACUCACUUGUUUAAAAGAGUUCUCC